AUCAGCAUUUUGGGCCAAACGAAACGCAUCAGCGAGACGACUCCGCCCCUCCGCCGCCGCUCUCCUUCGUCUCUGGCCACCCAGACCAGUCCGCCGCCGCCAAGGACGAAGCCCCUCCUCCCGUUGACGGGAGCACCUCACAGACCAGGGAGGCCGCGCAAGACGAUCCGCGCGCGCGUCCGCUCCCUCCUUAUCUGAGGCCGGCGGCGGAGGGGAGGGGCGCGGAGGACGUGCUCGUGGUGACUCGCCCGGGCUUCUGCUGCCACCGUCGUCUCCACCGACCACGUCUGCGAGCUGCUGCCGGAGAAGGCCGUUGAGGUCAUCUUCCUCAACCUGGCGCCGCUGCACCCGCAGAUCUGCUUAGCUAAAGCUGUUGCCGGCGCAGCGAGAUGAUUUAGUUACGCUCUUUGCCUAGCCUAAUGGAAUGUAUGGCUGCCUCCUUCGACUCCUACAUCACUGCAUCCCCCAUCAGCGAGACACACAAGGCAGGACAACGAUGCUGUUUGUCUUAUGAUCCAGGCCAUCUUCCUCAACCUGGCGGCGGUGCACCUGCACGUCUACAACACCCGCAGAUCUGCUUAGGUAAAGAUGUUGCCGGUGCCCCUCCUUUCGCAGCGAGAUGAUUUAUUUUCGCCUCCCUCCACGUUGGUGCAUUUGACGAUUCACUCCCUGAUACAUGCAAAUGUACAGCUGCCUCCUUCAACUGGUAUGACUCCUACAUCACCGUGUCCCCCAUCUGUGAGCCACAGAAGGUCAACUUUAUGCCUUUUUCGGUUUCCAGGUUUAAAUAAGUACGAUGCAGCAGCGAUUGAAACAUGUGCAGCGGUAACACUUUUUGGUUGCUCUAAGAAAAUGUAACAUGUUACAGAUCUUCCAUAAAUUCAAUGCGAGCUUUGUAUAUCUAGUUUGCAUGGUGUUAGCAUUCCCAUCUUGGCUAAUGGUGUUAUGGCAGUAGCUUCCAAAGGCGGUAGCCUGUAACUUGCAAGGCUGGUUGUGUCUUCAUGCUGAUUGCUAUUUGAGUUGAUCUUGAUCUAGUAAUGAA
Lolium perenne is the source of this 1042-nucleotide long non-coding RNA. RefSeq lists it as uncharacterized. The record is from RefSeq and is a predicted model, not a curated record. NCBI's taxonomy places the organism in Eukaryota, Viridiplantae, Streptophyta, Magnoliopsida, Poales, Poaceae.